UGGGGAAUAUUGGACAAUGGGGGGAACCCUGAUCCAGCCAUGCCGCGUGUGUGAAGAAGGCCUUAUGGUUGUAAAGCACUUUAAGCGAGGAGGAGGGUACUGGUAUUAAUACUACCAGGUACUGGACGUUACUCGCAGAAUAAGCACCGGCUAACUCUGUGCCGGCAGCCGCGGUAAUACAGAGGGUGCGAGCGUUAAUCGGAUUUACUGGGCGUAAAGCGUGCGUAGGCGGCUAAUUGAGUCGGAUGUGAAAUCCCCGAGCUUAACUUGGGAAUUGCAUUCGAUACUGGUUAGCUAGAGUGUGGGAGAGGAUGGUAGAAUUCCAGGUGUAGCGGUGAAAUGCGUAGAGAUCUGGAGGAAUACCGAUGGCGAAGGCAGCCAUCUGGCCUAACACUGACGCUGAGGUACGAAAGCAUGGGGAGCAAACAGG
RNAcentral lists this ribosomal RNA (430 nucleotides) under Pseudomonadota bacterium. Its description in RNAcentral is "Proteobacteria bacterium partial 16S ribosomal RNA". It matches the Rfam family "Bacterial small subunit ribosomal RNA", at positions 355 to 776 of the family's 1533-position model. The record is from RNAcentral. Lineage: Bacteria; Pseudomonadati; Pseudomonadota.